AAAAAUUGAAGUUCUAAAGGUUCAUACCUCUGAAAAUGCUACCGACAUGCUCUCACCAAGUCUGUUACAAAAAUGAAGCUCCAAAAAUACUUCGAGCUAAUAGACUUUGACAUACCUGAAAAAAGAUGAUAAAGUCAGAAGAUGGAAAUAUGGUUGAACCCAUAAAAAUUGGAUUCAACAUGGAGAUUAUUUGUAAUAGUUGAAUUCUAACAUGAGAAGUUAGUUUUGUUUUCUAUUAUUUUUUCUUUUAUGUAAACACCUCUAUAUAAAGGUUUAUAACAAAAAUAUCAGUUUCCUUCUUUUACAUUUGGAUACAGAAAGUAAAAGAAAAAGAAAACUAAAAUACUAUACUCAUCUCAAGGUCAUUCAAGAAAGUGAUCCUUCCCAUGGAUGUAGAUAUUUUGGCCAAACCACUUACAUCCGGUGCUCUUCUUCUUCACCUUCAUCUUCAAUCUAUG
This 458-nucleotide long non-coding RNA is filed under the name Cucumis sativus (cucumber). Its description in RNAcentral is "long non-coding RNA (CSAT_LNC001980)". Lineage: Eukaryota; Viridiplantae; Streptophyta; Magnoliopsida; Cucurbitales; Cucurbitaceae. The record is from RNAcentral.